This 497-nucleotide ribosomal RNA is filed under the name uncultured bacterium. RNAcentral describes it as "partial 16S ribosomal RNA". It matches the Rfam family "Bacterial small subunit ribosomal RNA", at positions 28 to 507 of the family's 1533-position model. The record is from RNAcentral.
GAUGAACGCUGGCGGCGUGCCUAAUACAUGCAAGUCGAGCGAACGGACGAUAAGCUUGCUUCUCUGAUGUUAGCGGCGGACGGGCGAGUAACACAUGGAUAACCUUCCUAUAAGACUGGGAUAACUUCGGGAAACCGGAGCUAAUACCGGAUAAUACUUUGAACCGCAUGGUUCAAAAGUUCAAGACGGUCUUGCUGUCACUUAUAGAUGGAUCCGCGCUGCAUUAGCUAGUUGGUAAGGUAACGGCUUACCAAGGCAACGAUGCAUAGCCGACCUGAGAGGGUGAUCGGCCACACUGGAACUGAGACACGGUCCAGACUCCUACGGGAGGCAGCAGUAGGGAAUCUUCCGCAAUGGGCGAAAGCCUGACGGAGCAACGCCGCGUGAGUGAUGAAGGUCUUCGGAUCGUAAAACUCUGUUAUUAGGGAAGAAAAUAUGUGUAAGUAACUGUGCACAUCUUGACGGUACCUAAUCAGAAAGCAACGGCUAACUACGUG